RNAcentral lists this transfer RNA (64 nucleotides) under Aphthona albertinae. RNAcentral's name for it is "tRNA-Arg". Lineage: Eukaryota; Metazoa; Arthropoda; Insecta; Coleoptera; Chrysomelidae. The record is from RNAcentral.
AAGUAAGAAGCAAUAUUGCAUUUAGUUUCGACCUAAAAAUUUGAUUUUUAAAAAUCCUUAUUUU